This 933-nucleotide ribosomal RNA is filed under the name Triticum aestivum (bread wheat). Its description in RNAcentral is "partial small subunit ribosomal RNA". Lineage: Eukaryota; Viridiplantae; Streptophyta; Magnoliopsida; Poales; Poaceae. The record is from RNAcentral.
AUGCUGCUGAUGCAGGUCACCGAGUUCUCCUGCGGAGGGUUCACCGUGGGCGUGACGUGGAACCACACGCUAGCCGACGCCACCGGCAUGGCGCAGUUCCUGCAGGCCGUGGGCGAGCUCACCCGCGCUGAAGCUGAUGCAUCGUCGGUGCCGUCCGUCACGCCGGUCAGGGACGGCCGCGCGGUGUCCCUUCCUCUGCUCUCGCCGCCGGUGGUCGCCGCGAAGCAGUGGCUCAUGCUGGACCUCGGAGGCCAGAGCCUCGUCUACCUAGAUAUCAUCGCCCCGCUCAAGCUCAUCGACCGCAUCAAGUCCGACUACAAGCCCGGGUACUGCACAACGUUCGAGGCCACGGCCGCCGUGCUGUGGCGGUGCCGCACACGCGCGAUCAUCGGUGACGACCCCGACGGCUAUGACAUGUCCACGCCGGCGCCGCUGGCCUUCACCGUGAACGUGCGCAAGCACGUGGGCGUGGCGGCAGGGUACUAUGGAAACUGCGCGGUCGCACAGCUGGCGUUCGCGACGACAGGAGAGGUGGCCGGCGCCGGCGCCGGGGACGAAGGCAUGAACGGCUUGGUGGAUCUGAUCAAGCGCGCCAAGGGCGGAGUCCCGGAGCUGCUGAGAGGCAUGACAGCCGGCGGCGGCGCGGUGGACGGGAUGGGGGAGGAGGAGAUAGCAGCGGCGUUCGGGUACAACGCGGUGAUGGUGACGAGCUGGCGGAACAUCAGGUUCGACGACGCCGACUUUGGCGGCGGCGCCCCGUUGAGGGUGGUGGCGCGUUGGCAGCAGUCCACGCUGCCGUGCAUGGCCUUAGUGUCCUGCAGGGCAGCCACGGCGGCCGACGGCGAGAGGCUGCUGACGCAGUGCGUCAGGGCGGAGCACGCCGCCGCGUUGCUUGGCGAGCUGGACCAGCUCGCACAUGCAUCGUGCGCCUGA